Molecule: transfer RNA, 72 nt
Filed under: Bos taurus (domestic cattle)
Lineage: Eukaryota; Metazoa; Chordata; Mammalia; Artiodactyla; Bovidae
Also listed under: 3 other names
Rfam family: tRNA
About the family: Transfer RNA (tRNA) molecules are approximately 80 nucleotides in length. Their secondary structure includes four short double-helical elements and three loops (D, anti-codon, and T loops). Further hydrogen bonds mediate the characteristic L-shaped molecular structure. tRNAs have two regions of fundamental functional importance: the anti-codon, which is responsible for specific mRNA codon recognition, and the 3' end, to which the tRNAs corresponding amino acid is attached (by aminoacyl-tRNA synthetases). tRNAs cope with the degeneracy of the genetic code in two manners: having more than one tRNA (with a specific anti-codon) for a particular amino acid; and 'wobble' base-pairing, i.e. permitting non-standard base-pairing at the 3rd anti-codon position.
Source: Rfam by way of RNAcentral
UCCCUUGUAGCUUAGUUGGUAAAGAAUCUUCCUGCAACGCAGGAGACCUGGGUUCGAUUCCUGGGUUGGGAA